This 1246-nucleotide ribosomal RNA is filed under the name Sympetrum flaveolum. RNAcentral's name for it is "partial large subunit ribosomal RNA". The record is from RNAcentral. Lineage: Eukaryota; Metazoa; Arthropoda; Insecta; Odonata; Libellulidae.
AUGUAAGAGUUUAAAGGUCGAACAGACCUAUAAAUUAAGCGGCUACACCUAAUUAUUAUCUUAAUCCCAACAUCGAGGUCGCAAGCCUCCCUGUAAAUAUGAACUCUGGAGGAAGAUUACGCUGUUAUCCCUAAGGUAACUUACACUAACAAUCACUAAUAAUGGAUCUAAUAAUCAUAAAUCAAUGUUAAAUAAAUCAAAAAGUUAAAUAUAUAUUUUUGUCACCCCAACAAAAUAAAAUUUUAAUAUAGUUAUGUUAAUAUAUAAAUAAAUAUAGAAAAUUAUAUAAAGAUCUAUAGGGUCUUCUCGUCUUCCAAUAAUAUUUUAGCUUUUUAACUAAAAAAUUAAAUUUUAAAACAAAUAAAAUGAGACAGUCAGUUCCUCGUUAAACCGUUCAUUCCAGCCCUCUAUUAAAAGACUAAUGAUUAUGCUACCUUUGCACGGUCAAUUUACCGCGGCCGUUAAAUAAAUCACUGGGCAGGUCAGAACUUAAAUUAAAUUCAAAAGGGCCAUGUUUUUGAUAAACAGGCGAGAACUAUAUUUGCCGAGUUCCUUAUUUUAUUAUAAAGAUUAUAAGUCUAUAGACAUAUUUUUAUACUAAUUUAAUCAUUAUUUCCUAUAAUAAAAAGUUGAUUAUAGUAUUUUAAUAAGAAACUAAAAAUAACAAAAUUAAUUAAUAAUAAAAAUAAAUUAUAACAUAAUUACUAAUGAUGGAUAAUUUUAAACCUACCAAAAUUUAUUAACAAAGACUUUAUAGAAAAAUAUAGAGCUUAUCCCCUAUAGCUUUUAAUUUACCAAAUAAAAUACAAAAUAAUAUAAAAAUUUAAAUGGCAAAACUAAAUUAAAUUUAAUUCUUAAAAAACUAGAUACCUUCAAAACGAAUAAAAUUUCUCCACUAAAUUGUAUUAUAGAUAAUUAUGCCACAUUAACCAAAUAUCAGGUAGCUCUUCUGAAAUCGAGAUAUAAAUAUAAAUUAAAUUAUUUAAUUAACCCUGAUACAAAAGGUACUGCAAAUUAAGCAUACUUAUAAAAAAAUUAAUUUUUAGUUAUUUCAUCAUUUCCUUUACAGUACUAAUAAACUAUAACAAUUUAAAUAUUUUUCAUUAACAUACUACAAAAAAAGAUAUUUCUCAAAAUAAUAAAAAAAUAAAAAGUAAGGUGAAAUUUAUCAAAUUAUCAAAUUAAACUGAAUUGCACAAUUAAAUUCUCAGUGUAAAUGAAAUGCUUACUAUCAAGCUCUAAUUUG